This 264-nucleotide ribosomal RNA is filed under the name uncultured bacterium. RNAcentral describes it as "partial 16S ribosomal RNA". It matches the Rfam family "Bacterial small subunit ribosomal RNA", at positions 793 to 1055 of the family's 1533-position model. The record is from RNAcentral.
GUCCACGCCCUAAACGAUGUCAACUGGUUGUUGGACUGCUUGCUGUUCAGUAACGAAGCUAACGCGUGAAGUUGACCGCCUGGGGAGUACGGCCGCAAGGUUGAAACUCAAAGGAAUUGACGGGGACCCCGCACAAGCUGUGGAUGAUGUGGUUUAAUUCGAUGCAACGCGAAAACCUUACCUACCCUUGACAUGUCAAGAAUCUUGCAGAGAUGUGAGAGUGCUCGAAAGAGAACUUGAACACAGGUGCUGCAUGGCCGUCGU